CCUCGUACACCACGCCGUAGCUGCCGCGCCCGAUCUCCGCCAGCAAACUGUAUCGCGGCCGCGCCGCCGCCUCCCGCCGCCUCAGCGCCGCCGCCAGGGUAAUCAGAGUCAUUAAGGAACCACUGCCAGAUGGAGAAGAUAAAGCUGAGGAACUUUUAUACCAACUUUAGCACCAAGUUCCAUGGAAAUGGAGGAAUUGACAGAAGCUUUGCUGAAAGGGGAAAAGAGAUCCAAGAUGUCAUAACCAGCAAGCCUUUUGGCAUUGGUGCUGGUGCACUGCAGACUUUUUCUACAAUGCCUCAGCUCUUCAUCCUGAAGUCUCACUCUAGCCCUGUAUUUCCCAUAUUGGAACUACCCUCUACCGCACACUGGUCCUUUUAGUAGGAUGGCUUCUCCCAGGAUCCCCAUUUAAGGAGUGCUCUCAGGCCAGCCAUGGCUCAUCCCUCUACAGACUGGACUCAGGACUGUACCAUUCCCCUAAGAUUAUUUUUGUCCCUCCCUUCCUCUCCCAAUUCCCCACCCCCUACUUUACAGCCCUUGGUGCCAGGUAUGUAAUAAGAGCUUAAUAAAUAUUUCUUUCAUUGA
Molecule: long non-coding RNA, 585 nt
Organism: Antechinus flavipes (yellow-footed antechinus)
Lineage: Eukaryota; Metazoa; Chordata; Mammalia; Dasyuromorphia; Dasyuridae
Exons: 3
Source: RefSeq, a predicted model, not a curated record